CACGGGGGGAGCAAGCGUUGUUCGGAAUCACUGGGCGUAAAGGGCGUGUAGGCGGUCAAGUAAGUGGAAUGUGAAAUCCCCCGGCUUACCCGGGGACCGGCAGCCCAUACUGCUUGGCUUGAGUACGGGAGAGGAUGUGGGAAUUCCUGGUGUAGCGGUGAAAUGCGUAGAUAUCAGGAGGAACACCGGUGGCGAAGGCGCACAUCUGGCCCGAUACUGACGCUGAAGCGCGAAAGCUAGGGGAGCAAACGGG
Molecule: ribosomal RNA, 253 nt
Filed under: uncultured bacterium
Lineage: Bacteria
Description: partial 16S ribosomal RNA
Rfam family: Bacterial small subunit ribosomal RNA
Source: RNAcentral